AGGCGGGUAGCUCAGCGGUUAGAGCACCGGCCUUACAAGCCGGGGGUCCGCGGUUCAAAUCCGCGUCCGCCUACCA
This 76-nucleotide transfer RNA is filed under the name Myxococcales bacterium. RNAcentral describes it as "tRNA-Val". It matches the Rfam family "tRNA". Rfam says of the family: Transfer RNA (tRNA) molecules are approximately 80 nucleotides in length. Their secondary structure includes four short double-helical elements and three loops (D, anti-codon, and T loops). Lineage: Bacteria; Pseudomonadati; Myxococcota; Myxococcia; Myxococcales. The record is from RNAcentral.